CCGGGGCGCAUGCGCCGUCGGGCGGCCGCCGGUUCCCCUCCCGCUCGCGAUUCACCUCGGGCCGCGGCGGAGCCGGAGGGGAGCGCGGCGCGCAGGCACUUCUGUCCUGAAGUCUUACAAGACUGUGACAUGAAAUAAAAAAGGGGAAAAAAAUAAUAAACAAGAAAAGAACCUUAGGCUUUACCUAUCCAACUAUGAUGUGCCAGAGCUGAGAGCUGUAUAAGCAUUAUGACCCUCAGUGACAUCUGUCAUUUACCUGUUCAGUACCCUGAACAGGAGAUGUUCACUACAAGCUGGACUGGCAAAGAGAUACCAGGGACUGUUUCCAAGUGAAAGUUCCUCUGAAGGAUAAUGUACCUUUUCCACAAUAAAUCUGGCUCGCUCUGC
Molecule: long non-coding RNA, 387 nt
Organism: Oxyura jamaicensis (ruddy duck)
Lineage: Eukaryota; Metazoa; Chordata; Aves; Anseriformes; Anatidae
Exons: 2
Source: RefSeq, a predicted model, not a curated record